GACAGAGGAUGCAAGCGUUAUCCGGAAUGAUUGGGCGUAAAGGGCACGUAGGCGGCUUUGCAAGUCGGGUGUGAAAUCCCCAGGCUUGACCUGGGAACUGCAUUCGAGACUGCAUUGCUAGAGUAUGGGAGAGGGAAGUGGAAUUUCCGGUGUAGCGGUGAAAUGCGUAGAUAUCGGAAGGAACAUCAGUGGCGAAAGCGACUUCCUGGACCAAUACUGACGCUCAUGUGCGAAAGCGUGGGGAGCAAACAGG
This 253-nucleotide ribosomal RNA is filed under the name uncultured bacterium. RNAcentral's name for it is "partial 16S ribosomal RNA". It matches the Rfam family "Bacterial small subunit ribosomal RNA", at positions 524 to 776 of the family's 1533-position model. The record is from RNAcentral.